This is a long non-coding RNA of Gorilla gorilla gorilla (western lowland gorilla), 419 nucleotides long. RefSeq lists it as uncharacterized. The transcript is spliced from 4 exons. The record is from RefSeq and is a predicted model, not a curated record. Lineage: Eukaryota; Metazoa; Chordata; Mammalia; Primates; Hominidae.
CCCAACUCUUGCUGCCUCACAGCCCUACACAUCCAAGGCUUGCUUUAAAUCUCCUAAGUCCUGAAGAAAAUGAAGACAGAAAGAACAGCACCUACUUUCAAGGAAAAGGAGGCCACGCCCCUCAGCGGCUUCAGGAGCCCAGACCUUUGGGGGCCCACCUUCCGCAGCUUUCCAUUGGCCCCACGGUGGAAGCCCGUAGGUUCAGGCCCUCCGAACACAGCUCGCUUUCCACACCAGCGGGGCCGUACCAGAGCAAGACCGUGUCUCACAAAAUAAUAAUAAUACUUAAAAAAUGGUAUAAUAGCAAGCAAAGGAAAUUCAAAUUGAGUCACAUUCUACAAAAUGCCUAACCAGACCUCUCCAAAACUGUCAAGGUCAUGAAAAACAAAGACUGAGGCACUGCCACAGACUAGAGGAGG